RNAcentral lists this ribosomal RNA (203 nucleotides) under uncultured bacterium. Its description in RNAcentral is "partial 16S ribosomal RNA". It matches the Rfam family "Bacterial small subunit ribosomal RNA", at positions 524 to 725 of the family's 1533-position model. The record is from RNAcentral.
UACGGAGGGGGCUAGCGUUGUUCGGAAUUACUGGGCGUAAAGCGCACGUAGGCGGCUUUGCAAGUCAGAGGUGAAAGCCCGGGGCUCAACCCCGGAAUUGCCUUUGAGACUGCAUCGCUAGAAUUGUGGAGAGGUAAGUGGAAUUCCGAGUGUAGAGGUGAAAUUCGUAGAUAUUCGGAAGAACACCAGUGGCGAAGGACGAC